Molecule: ribosomal RNA, 433 nt
Filed under: uncultured bacterium
Lineage: Bacteria
Description: partial 16S ribosomal RNA
Rfam family: Bacterial small subunit ribosomal RNA
Source: RNAcentral
AACGAACGCUGGCGGCAUGCCUAACACAUGCAAGUCGAACGAGACCUUCGGGUCUAGUGGCGCACGGGUGCGUAACGCGUGGGAACCUGCCCUUAGGUUCGGAAUAACUCCCCGAAAGGGGUCCUAAUACCGGAUAAUGUCUUCGGACCAAAGAUUUAUCGCCAUUGGAUGGGCCCGCGUUGGAUUAGCUGGUUGGUAGGGUAAAAGCCUACCAUGGCGACGAUCCAUAGCUGGUCUGGGAGGAUGCCCCGCCGCACUGGGACUGAGACACGGCCCAGACUGCUACGGGAGGCAGCAGAGGGGAGUAUUAGACGAUGGGCGAAAACGUGGUACAGCAGUGCCGCGUGUGUGAUGAAGGCCUUAGGGUUGUAAAGCUCUUUUACCCGGGAUGAUAAUGACAGUACCGGGAGAAUAAGCUCCGGCUAACUCCGUG